GGACCCGUAGCUCAACUGGAUAGAGCAUCAGACUACGAAUCUGAAGGUUAUGAGUUCGAAUCUCGUCGGGUUCA
RNAcentral lists this transfer RNA (74 nucleotides) under Sphingobacteriales bacterium. RNAcentral describes it as "tRNA-Arg". It matches the Rfam family "tRNA". Rfam says of the family: Transfer RNA (tRNA) molecules are approximately 80 nucleotides in length. Their secondary structure includes four short double-helical elements and three loops (D, anti-codon, and T loops). Further hydrogen bonds mediate the characteristic L-shaped molecular structure. tRNAs have two regions of fundamental functional importance: the anti-codon, which is responsible for specific mRNA codon recognition, and the 3' end, to which the tRNAs corresponding amino acid is attached (by aminoacyl-tRNA synthetases). tRNAs cope with the degeneracy of the genetic code in two manners: having more than one tRNA (with a specific anti-codon) for a particular amino acid; and 'wobble' base-pairing, i.e. permitting non-standard base-pairing at the 3rd anti-codon position. Lineage: Bacteria; Pseudomonadati; Bacteroidota; Sphingobacteriia; Sphingobacteriales. The record is from RNAcentral.